CCUACGGGAGGCUGCAGUGGGGAAUAUUGGGCAAUGGGCGCAAGCCUGACCCAGCAAAGCCGCGUGAAGGAAGAAGGCUUUCGGGUUGUAAACUUCUUUUAAGGGGGACGAACAAAUGACGGUACCCCUUGAAUAAGCCACGGCUAAAUAAGUGCAAGCAGCCGCGGUAAUACGUAGGUGGCAAGCGUUAUCCGGAUUUAUUGGGGGUAAAGGGCGUGUUGGCGGGAGCGCAAGUCUGAUGUGAAAACUCAGGGCUCAACCCUGAGCCUGCAUUUGAAACUGUGUUUCUUGAGUGCUGGAGAGGCAAUCGGAAUUCGGUGUGUAGCGGUGAAAUGCGUAGAUAUACGGAGGAACACCAGUGGCGAAGGCGGAUUGCUGGACAGUAACUGACGCUGAGGCGCGAAAGCGUGGGGAGCAAACAGGAUUAGAUACCCCAGUAGUC
RNAcentral lists this ribosomal RNA (442 nucleotides) under uncultured bacterium. RNAcentral describes it as "partial 16S ribosomal RNA". It matches the Rfam family "Bacterial small subunit ribosomal RNA", at positions 338 to 795 of the family's 1533-position model. The record is from RNAcentral.